AGCAGCUGCGAUAAUUCCAGCUCCAAUAGUAUAUAUUAAAGUUGUUGCAGUUAAAAAGCUUAUAGUUGAACUUUGGGAUUUAUUUAUUGGUCAAGCUUAACUGUCUGUACUGGUGUGAUGAAUUUCUACCUUCUGAGGAAUCAUUAUGCCAUUCACUUGGUGUGAUGGGGAAUCAGGACUGUUACUUUGAAAAAAUUAGAAUGUUUAAAGCAAACUAACGUCUGAAUACAUUAGCAUGGAAUAAUAAAAUAGGACGGGUUGGUUCUAUUUUGUUGGUUUCUAGGAUCACUGUAAUGAUUAAUAGGGAUAGUUGGGGGCAUUAGUAUUCAAUUGUCAGAGGUGAAAUUCUUGGAUUUAUUGAAAACUAACUACUGCGAAAGCAUUUGCCAAGGAUGUUUCAUUAAUCAAGAACCAAAGUUAGGGGAUCGAAGACGAUCAGAUACCGUCGUAGUCUUAACCAUAAACUAUGCCGACGUAGGGAUCGGAUGUAAGUUUAAUUUUAAAUGUACUCGUUCGGCGUCCGUUAACCGGG
This 532-nucleotide ribosomal RNA is filed under the name uncultured Diversispora. RNAcentral's name for it is "bacterial SSU rRNA". It matches the Rfam family "Eukaryotic small subunit ribosomal RNA", at positions 569 to 1094 of the family's 1831-position model. The record is from RNAcentral. Lineage: Eukaryota; Fungi; Glomeromycota; Glomeromycetes; Diversisporales; Diversisporaceae.